CGUAGGGGGCGAGCGUUGUCCGGAAUUAUUGGGCGUAAAGCGCGCGUAGGCGGCCUGGUAAGUCAGGUGUCAAAGGCAUUGGCUCAACCAAUGUACGCACCUGAAACUGUCAGGCUUGAGUGCAGGAGAGGAGAGUGGAAUUCCCGGUGUAGCGGUGGAAUGCGUAGAGAUCGGGAGGAACACCAGUGGCGAAGGCGGCUCUCUGGCCUGUAACUGACGCUGAGGUGCGAAAGCGUGGGAGCGAACAGGAUU
This 252-nucleotide ribosomal RNA is filed under the name uncultured bacterium. RNAcentral's name for it is "partial 16S ribosomal RNA". It matches the Rfam family "Bacterial small subunit ribosomal RNA", at positions 526 to 779 of the family's 1533-position model. The record is from RNAcentral.